GGAUGGAAUCUUGAUUGACUGAGUGGCGGACGGGUGAGUAACGCGUGGAUAACCUGCCUCACACUGGGGGAUAACAGUUAGAAAUGACUGCUAAUACCGCAUAAGCGCACAGUGCCGCAUGGCAGUGUGUGAAAAACUCCGGUGGUGUGAGAUGGAUCCGCGUCUGAUUAGCCAGUUGGCGGGGUAACGGCCCACCAAAGCGACGAUCAGUAGCCGACCUGAGAGGGUGACCGGCCACAUUGGGACUGAGACACGGCCCAAACUCCUACGGGAGGCAGCAGUGGGGAAUAUUGCACAAUGGGCGAAAGCCUGAUGCAGCGACGCCGCGUGAGUGAAGAAGUAUUUCGGUAUGUAAAGCUCUAUCAGCAGGGAAGAAAAUGACGGUACCUGACUAAGAAGCCCCGGCUAACUACGUGCCAGCAGCCGCGGUAAUACGUAGGGGGCAAGCGUUAUCCGGAUUUACUGGGUGUAAAGGGAGCGUAGACGGCGAAGCAAGUCUGAAGUGAAAACCCAGGGCUCAACCCUGGGACUGCUUUGGAAACUGUUUUGCUAGAGUGUCGGAGAGGUAAGUGGAAUUCCUAGUGUAGCGGUGAAAUGCGUAGAUAUUAGGAGGAACACCAGUGGCCGAAGGCGGCUUACUGGACGAUAACUGACGUUGAGGCUCGAAAGCGUGGGGAGCAAACAGGAUUAGAUACCCUGGUAGUCCACGCCGCAAACGAUGAAUGCUAGGUGUUGGGGGGCA
This 742-nucleotide ribosomal RNA is filed under the name uncultured bacterium. Its description in RNAcentral is "bacterial SSU rRNA". It matches the Rfam family "Bacterial small subunit ribosomal RNA", at positions 70 to 832 of the family's 1533-position model. The record is from RNAcentral.